Long non-coding RNA from Talpa occidentalis (Iberian mole), 387 nucleotides. RefSeq lists it as uncharacterized. NCBI's taxonomy places the organism in Eukaryota, Metazoa, Chordata, Mammalia, Eulipotyphla, Talpidae. The record is from RefSeq and is a predicted model, not a curated record. The transcript has 3 exons.
CGUCUCGCCUUUUCCCCGGCUGAAAGCUGUGCUGUGGGGUCUGCGAGCCAAGCCCAGAGUCGGUGAUUCAUGAAGGGGCAGCAUCAAAUCUAGCAGAUGUAAAGGAUUUCCGAAGAGAUACACAAAGAAAGAGAUCUUACAGCAGAGGGGUAGGAACACAAACCACAGAGACCACAGCAAACGGGGAAAACAGAACUUAACGAGACUCAGACCAACGAAAACAGAUCAACCAAUCAGAAUAGACCCGGUGUUAAGACUGGAAAGUCCCACUUCCCGACAAUAUGGUAGAAAGCAAGCCUUGUGCCCUGCAAAGGGGCCCUUCUCUCAACCUGAUGGGACUGCUGCGUCAGUGUACCAGGCAGAGUUGGGCCCUAGCUGAAGCUAGCA